UACAGGGGGUGCGAGCGUUGCUCGGAAUCACUGGGCGUAAAGCGAACGCAGGCGGACCGUUAAGUCGGGUGUGAAAGCCCGGGGCUCAACCCCGGAAUUGCAUUCGAUACUGGCGGUCUUGAGUACGGGAGAGGUGAGUGGAAUUCCUGGUGUAGAGGUGAAAUUCGUAGAUAUCAGGAGGAACACCGGUGGCGAAAGCGGCUCACUGGCCCGAUACUGACGCUCAUGUUCGAAAGCGUGGGGAGCAAACAGG
This 253-nucleotide ribosomal RNA is filed under the name uncultured bacterium. Its description in RNAcentral is "partial 16S ribosomal RNA". It matches the Rfam family "Bacterial small subunit ribosomal RNA", at positions 524 to 776 of the family's 1533-position model. The record is from RNAcentral.